CACGCCGUAAACGAUGGAUACUAGCUGUUCGGAGCAAUCUGAGUGGCUAAGCGAAAGUGAUAAGUAUCCCACCUGGGGAGUACGCACGCAAGUGUGAAACUCAAAGGAAUUGACGGGGGCCCGCACAAGCGGUGGAGCAUGUGGUUUAAUUCGAUGAUACGCGAGGAACCUUACCAGGGCUUAAAUGUAGAUUGACAGGUCUGGAAACAGAUUUUUCUUCGGACAAUUUACAAGGUGC
This 238-nucleotide ribosomal RNA is filed under the name uncultured bacterium. RNAcentral describes it as "partial 16S ribosomal RNA". It matches the Rfam family "Bacterial small subunit ribosomal RNA", at positions 796 to 1041 of the family's 1533-position model. The record is from RNAcentral.